This 327-nucleotide ribosomal RNA is filed under the name uncultured eukaryote. Its description in RNAcentral is "partial 18S ribosomal RNA". It matches the Rfam family "Eukaryotic small subunit ribosomal RNA", at positions 1470 to 1796 of the family's 1831-position model. The record is from RNAcentral.
CCCUUAGAUCUUCUGGGCCGCACACGCGCUACACUGAAGGAGGCAGCGUGUACUCCUGGAUCGAAAGAUUUGGGUAACCCGCGAAUCUCCUUCGUGCUAGGGAUUGAGGUUUGCAAUUAUCCUUCAUGAACGAGGAAUUCCCAGUAAGUGCAAGUCAUAAGCUUGCGCUGACUACGUCCCUGCCCUUUGUACACACCGCCCGUCGCUACUACCGAUUGAAUGAUUUAGUGAGGACUUCGGACUGGGACCGAUGCGGCUUUCGGGCUGCGUCGGUAUUCUGGAAAGAUGUCCAAACUGUAUCAUUUAGAGGAAGUAAAAGUCGUAACA